RNAcentral lists this non-coding RNA (31 nucleotides) under Rattus norvegicus (Norway rat). The record is from RNAcentral. Lineage: Eukaryota; Metazoa; Chordata; Mammalia; Rodentia; Muridae.
UGCUGUUUUAUGAUGGAUGUUGGCUCCAACC